Molecule: ribosomal RNA, 253 nt
Filed under: uncultured bacterium
Lineage: Bacteria
Description: partial 16S ribosomal RNA
Rfam family: Bacterial small subunit ribosomal RNA
Source: RNAcentral
UACGUAGGGUGCAAGCGUUAAUCGGAAUUACUGGGCGUAAAGCGUGCGCAGGCGGUUUUGUAAGUCUGACGUGAAAGCCCCGGGCUCAACCUGGGAAUUGCGUUGGAGACUGCAAGGCUUGAAUCUGGCAGAGGGGGGUAGAACUCCACGUGUAGCAGUGAAAUGCGUAGAGAUGUGGAGGAACACCGAUGGCGAAGGCAGCCCCCUGGGUCAAGAUUGACGCUCAUGCACGAAAGCGUGGGGAGCAAACAGG